GUCAUUUCUCAGCCUUUUGGCUUAGAUCAAGUGAAGUAUCAGUUCUUAUCAGUUUAUUAUCUGAUAUGUCUUCUGCCUGAGGGCAAUAUAUUAAAUGGAGUUUUGGAGCAAGAAGAUGAAAUAGGAGCUUGCUCCAUCCGCUCUGCUUAUCAACCCAGUAUUGCAGUACCUUCAAGAACAGUGCAAAAACA
Pteronotus mesoamericanus is the source of this 191-nucleotide small nuclear RNA. RefSeq annotates it as U2 spliceosomal RNA. The transcript has a single exon. The record is from RefSeq and is a predicted model, not a curated record. Lineage: Eukaryota; Metazoa; Chordata; Mammalia; Chiroptera; Mormoopidae.